Helianthus annuus (common sunflower) is the source of this 2132-nucleotide long non-coding RNA. RefSeq lists it as uncharacterized. The record is from RefSeq and is a predicted model, not a curated record. NCBI's taxonomy places the organism in Eukaryota, Viridiplantae, Streptophyta, Magnoliopsida, Asterales, Asteraceae. The transcript has 5 exons.
UUUUUGAUCAAUUUUGUCCUUAUGUUUUUGCAUCUUUCGGGUUUAAUUUUUGAGUUAAGUUAAAUCCCAGGUUAUAUCUUCAUCACGGUAUGUCAAUUUGCAUUGUUAAUUUCUAUGAUAACAUCUCCGAUACAUAUUACAAGGUUGAAAUUAAUAUGUUUCUUUUUUUAUUAAUAUGUAAGAUGGAGCUUCGAACAUCAUCCACCGAAAAGAGGUGGGACAAAAUGCAAGUCCAUUAAAAUCGGGUCAAGCUGAGGUGCUAUCAAAUUGCAUAAAACUACAACGGUUGAAAUAGAAAAAGUUUCAAUUUUGUUAGGAUUUACUUACAGGUCGUUGACAUGGUUUGUGCAGGGCAGGUUGCCAAAAAGCAUUUGUCUUUGAACUAAAUGUUUACACAUAAGCUCUUACUUCCAAUUAUGUUAAAUAAAUUGUAUAUGUUCUAAGUUUUGAGUGAUGUUUAGGUCCUUUUGUAUUACGAUAAUACAAGGAAUUUGAUACAUUUGUAUGUUCUAACAACAUUGUGGAUCUCACAUGCUUAGGAAAAGAAAGGAUGUUGCCAUUUGUUGAUCUCAUAUGCUUCGGUGGAACUGAGGAAGCACCGGCUGAAUAACACUAAAAGUGAUGGUUAUCGAGAUCAGGUGCAUGCUACAUGAUUUUGCAGGAAAUGUUGAGAUAUAUGGUGUUUUAGAUUUUGUAGGAUCGGGACCUAUUGAAGCCCGUGUUACCAAGAACUCAACAAAGGCGGUUUUUGCUUAAGAAUGUGUGGAGAGGCAAAACUUGGAAGGUUGCUUGCAAUAAUUAGUCCAUCUGGUGGAUCAGGGAAGACAACUCUCCCCAGUCACAAGUGCAGGAUCCGUUGUUAGGUGAUAACAAGAAAGAAGACAUUCCAGAUCCAUUGUUAGGUGACAAUGAUGAUCAACAUUAAGAUGAAGGUGUUCAGAAGCCUCAGAAGACAACAAACAUCAAUGCUCCAGUGAUGGUUGAAGUGAGUGAAACUGAUCCCAUUGAGUUAUCUUUCACAGUUAAAUAAGUACGGGUACGUGUCGUCAAUAAGUUAUCUUUACCUUUUAAAUCUGAAGGUAGCAUCCAUAUCAUCUAAUAAUUUGGUGGGAAUUCAAGCAUUAUGGAUAAUGUUGUGAACGCAAGGUAAUAAGCCUCUAUAUAUAGGAUGUCUGGUCGUGUGUUUUGAAAGUAAUUAUGUGAUAUUACAUAUCAUUUGCUAGUGUUAUGUAGAAGGUAUACAUCUCUGUUUAUGUAAAUCAAGGUGAUAGAGAUGGGAAAAUCGCAACCAUAAGGUAUACUAAUUUGUUGUGAUUUCACACUUCCCCAUGAAUUAUACAUCGCCAGUACUACUCACUAAUCAAACUUCAUUCAUAAUGUAUUAUUAUUCUUUUUUAUGUGGGUAGCAUGUAUCUUGUAAUAUAUUUCUUAUUUGGAGGAUUUGUCAAGCAUAGGCAGGUUUGAUUGUCUAAUUUUUAAUCAUAUUUUGUAUACUAAUUAUUCAACCUUAUUAAUUGAUUUCUAUUUGAACAAGAAAAUGGAUUUCUUGAUGAAGUGUUUAAAUUCACACCUAAGAAAAAGCUUCUAUAAAGCGCUGAUCAUGUUUCAGGGAUGGUCAAGGUUUGAUCCUCUUCUUUAACUCAUGUUAGUUAUAAUAUAUAGUAACAAAAUUCCAACAUCAAACAUUUUUUAUCUCAAAGGAGGUGCAGAUCUCCUAACUCCAUUUUUAAAAAGGUAAGGGCAGUUUCUGAACAAGCAGUGAAUGAUGUCUCCUGUAGACAGACUCUAUAAUAUCUACAUAGUGUUUGUUAAUAUUUUUAUAAAAAAACGUUGUAAAUAUUGUGAUAAUGUUUUUGGUUGCAGGAUAGAAACGUCGGGCACUAUGCAUCCAGGAUAGGCGAGGAUUAAAGGACGCAACAUCAAAAUAUGCUGGUGUGGGUUAAUGAGUCCUCAACCAAGAUGAUUGCUAAAAGGAUUACCAUGUUUAGUUAGAAAUUCAUUUAUGCAAUUACAAUGAAAACUUUAGAUCAUUGCAUCUUACUUGCGUUGUUUGCCUAUUAUCUAAUAAGUUCCCGUGUACAAAAUGAUCCCUGUAUGUAAUGUUUUUUAGAAUUAAAAAGUAAUUUAGUCUC